RNAcentral lists this ribosomal RNA (322 nucleotides) under uncultured bacterium. Its description in RNAcentral is "bacterial SSU rRNA". It matches the Rfam family "Bacterial small subunit ribosomal RNA", at positions 28 to 336 of the family's 1533-position model. The record is from RNAcentral.
GACGAACGCUGGCGGCGUGCCUAAUACAUGCAAGUAGAACGCUGAAGAAAGGAGCUUGCUUCUUUUGGAUGAGUUGCGAACGGGUGAGUAACGCGUAGGUAACCUGCCUUGUAGCGGGGGAUAACUAUUGGAAACGAUAGCUAAUACCGCAUAACAGCUUUUGACACAUGUUAGAAGCUUGAAAGAUGCAAUUGCAUCACUACGAGAUGGACCUGCGUUGUAUUAGCUAGUAGGUAGGGUAACGGCCUACCUAGGCGACGAUACAUAGCCGACCCUGAGAGGGUGAUACGGCCACACCUGGGACUGAGACACGGGCCCAGAC